AACGUAGGUGGCGAGCGUUAUCCGGAUUUACUGGGCGUAAAGGGCUCGUAGGCGGCCAACUAAGUCAGACGUGAAAUCCCUCGGCUUAACCGGGGAACUGCGUCUGAUACUGGAUGGCUUGAGGUUGGGAGAGGGAUGCGGAAUUCCAGGUGUAGCGGUGAAAUGCGUAGAUAUCUGGAGGAACACCGGUGGCGAAGGCGGCAUCCUGGACCAAUUCUGACGCUGAGGAGCGAAAGCCAGGAGAGCAAACGGG
Molecule: ribosomal RNA, 253 nt
Filed under: uncultured prokaryote
Description: partial 16S ribosomal RNA
Rfam family: Bacterial small subunit ribosomal RNA
Source: RNAcentral